Molecule: unclassified non-coding RNA, 378 nt
Filed under: plant metagenome
Description: partial contains 5.8S ribosomal RNA, internal transcribed spacer 2, and large subunit ribosomal RNA
Rfam family: 5.8S ribosomal RNA (bases 1-105)
Source: RNAcentral
GAAAUGCGAUAAGUAAUGUGAAUUGCAGAAUUCAGUGAAUCAUCGAAUCUUUGAACGCACCUUGCGCUCCUUGGUAUUCCUUGGAGCAUGCCUGUUUGAGUAUCAUGAAAUCUUCAAAGUAAAUCUUUUGUUAACUCAAUUGGUUUCUACUUUGGUAUUGGAGGUCUUUGCAGCUUCACACCUGCUCCUCUUUGUUCAUUAGCUGGAUCUCAGUGUUAUGCUUGGUUCCACUCGGCGUGAUAAGUUAUCUAUCGCUGAGGACACUGUAAAAGGUGGCCAAGGUAAAUGCAGAUGAACCGCUUCUAAUAGUCCAUUGACUUGGACAAUACUUUUGUGAUCUGAUCUCGAAUCAGGUAGGACUACCCGCUGAACUUAAGC